CUGCCGUGUGUGUGAAGAAGGCCUUCGGGUUGUAAAGCACUUUCAGUUGUGAGGAAAGGUUAGUAGUUAAUACCUGCUAGCUGUGACGUUAGCAACAGAAGAAGCACCGGCUAACUCCGUGCCAGCAGCCGCGGUAAUACGGAGGGUGCGAGCGUUAAUCGGAAUUACUGGGCGUAAAGCGUACGCAGGCGGUUUGUUAAGCGAGAUGUGAAAGCCCCGGGCUCAACCUGGGAACUGCAUUUCGAACUGGCAAACUAGAGUGUGAUAGAGGGUGGUAGAAUUUCAGGUGUAGCGGUGAAAUGCGUAGAGAUCUGAAGGAAUACCGAUGGCGAAGGCAGCCACCUGGGUCAACACUGACGCUCAUGUACGAAAGCGUGGGGAGCAAACGGGAUUAGAUACCCCGGUAGUCCACGCCGUAAACGAUGUCUACUAGGAGUUCGGUUUUUCGGAACUGUCUUCCAAAGCUAACGCAUUAAGUAGACCGCCUGGGGAGUACGGCCGCAAGGUUAAAACUCAAAUGAAUUGACGGGGGCCCGCACAAGCGGUGGAGCAUGUGGUUUAAUUCGAUGCAACGCGAAGAACCUUACCUACACUUGACAUCCAGAGAACUUACUAGA
Molecule: ribosomal RNA, 617 nt
Filed under: Pseudoalteromonas sp. UST010723-006
Lineage: Bacteria; Pseudomonadati; Pseudomonadota; Gammaproteobacteria; Alteromonadales; Pseudoalteromonadaceae
Description: bacterial SSU rRNA
Rfam family: Bacterial small subunit ribosomal RNA
Source: RNAcentral